GACGAACGCUGGCGGCGUGCUUAACACAUGCAAGUCGAACGGAAAGGCCCUGCUUUUGUGGGGUGCUCGAGUGGAGAACGGGUGAGUAACACGUGAGUAACCUGCCCUUGACUUUGGGAUAACUUCAGGAAACUGGGGCUAAUACCGGAUAGGAGCUCCUGCUGCAUGGUGGGGGUUGGAAAGUUUCGGCGGUUGGGGAUGGACUCGCGGCUUAUCAGCUUGUUGGUGGGGUAGUGGCUUACCAAGGCUUUGACGGGUAGCCGGCCUGAGCGGGUGACCGGCCCCAUUAGGACUGGGCUACGGCCCAGUCUCCUACGGGAGGCAACAGUGGGGAAUAUUGCACUAUGGGCGGAAGCCUGAUGCAGCAACGCCGCGUGCGGGAUGACGGCCUUCGGGUUGUAAACCGCUUUCGCCUGUGACGAAGCGUGAGUGACGGUAAUGGGUAAAGAAGCACCGGCUAACUACGCG
Molecule: ribosomal RNA, 468 nt
Filed under: uncultured bacterium
Lineage: Bacteria
Description: partial 16S ribosomal RNA
Rfam family: Bacterial small subunit ribosomal RNA
Source: RNAcentral